Long non-coding RNA from Anguilla anguilla (European eel), 138 nucleotides. RefSeq lists it as uncharacterized. The transcript has 2 exons. The record is from RefSeq and is a predicted model, not a curated record. NCBI's taxonomy places the organism in Eukaryota, Metazoa, Chordata, Actinopteri, Anguilliformes, Anguillidae.
AUAAAAUAAACAAUUUAAAUAAUCAAGGCUUUCAAAGCAGACACAAAUGACUUAGAGUUUGCUCCAGGCAAACAGGUUAAAAGCAGUAGAAACAGACCGAGAAUUCGGUCUGCUGAAUUAGAAACUUUAAUUCCAGUA